RNAcentral lists this ribosomal RNA (392 nucleotides) under uncultured bacterium. Its description in RNAcentral is "partial 16S ribosomal RNA". It matches the Rfam family "Bacterial small subunit ribosomal RNA", at positions 523 to 918 of the family's 1533-position model. The record is from RNAcentral.
AUACAUAGGGGGCGAGCGUUGUCCGGAAUUACUGGGCGUAAAGGGUUCGCAGGCGGUCUAGCAAGUCUGGUGUAAAAGGCAAGGGCUCAACCCUUGUAAGCAUUGGAAACUGUUGGACUUGAGUAAAGGAGAGGUAAGUGGAAUUCCUAGUGUAGCGGUGGAAUGCGUGGAUAUUAGGAGGAAUACCAGUGGCGAAGGCGACUUACUGGACUUUAACUGACGCUGAGGAACGAAAGCGUGGGAAGCAAACAGGAUUAGAUACCCUGGUAGUCCACGCCGUAAACGAUGAGUGCUAGGUGUCGGGUGUCAAAGCUCGGUGCCGGCGUUAACACAAUAAGCACUCCGCCUGGGGAGUACGUGCGCAAGCAUGAAACUCAAAUGAAUUGACGGGG